AUCUUUAUAGUUUAAUAUUAAAAUAUUACACUGAAAAUGUAAAGAAAAGUUUUUAAAGAUA
Molecule: transfer RNA, 61 nt
Filed under: Haemaphysalis doenitzi
Lineage: Eukaryota; Metazoa; Arthropoda; Arachnida; Ixodida; Ixodidae
Description: tRNA-Phe
Source: RNAcentral